Molecule: ribosomal RNA, 873 nt
Filed under: Colletotrichum graminicola
Lineage: Eukaryota; Fungi; Ascomycota; Sordariomycetes; Glomerellales; Glomerellaceae
Description: SSU rRNA
Rfam family: Eukaryotic small subunit ribosomal RNA
Source: RNAcentral
ACUAAAAACCCUAACUUAUAAAGGGGUGUAUUUAUUAGAUUAAAAACUAAUGCCCUUUAGGGCUUACUGGUAAUUUAUAAUAACUUCUUAAAUUGUAUAGCCUUACGCUAGUAAUAGUUUAUUUAAAUUUCUUCCUUAUUAACUUUUAAUGCUAGAGUAGUGUUCUAGUAUAGUUAUAAUAGGUAACAGAGGGUUAGGGCUUAACCCUAGAGAAAGAGCCUAAGAAAUAGCUACUAUAUCUAAGGAAGGUAGCAGGCGUGUAAAUUACCUAAUCCUAACAUAGGGAGGUAGUGACAAUAAAUACUAAUAUAGGGCUUUUUUAGGUCUUGUAAUUAGAAUAAGUAUAAUUUAAAUCCCUUAAUAAGGAAUAAUUAGAGGGUAAGUCUGGUGCUAGUAGCUAUAGUAAUUCUAGCUUUAAUAGCGUAUAUUAAAGUUGUUAUAGUUAAAAAGCUUGUAGUAGAACCUUAGGCCUGGCUGGCCGGUCCGCCUCACUGCGUGCACUGGUCUGGCCAGGCCUUUCUCUCUGUGGAACCGUAUACCCUUUACUAGGUGUGCUAGGGAAGCAGGACUUUUACUUUAAAAAAAUUAGAGUGCUUUAGGCAGGCCUAUGCUUAAAUAUAUUAGCAUGGAAUAAUAGAAUAGGACGUGUAGUUCUAUUUUGUUAGUUUCUAGGACUGCUGUAAUAAUUAAUAGGGAUAGUUAGGGGUAUUAGUAUUUAAUUGUUAGAGGUAAAAUUCUUAGAUUUAUUAAAGACUAACUACUGCAAAAGUAUUUACUAAGGAUGUUUUUAUUUAUUAGGAAUAAAAGUUAGGGGAUUAAAGACAAUUAGAUACUGUUAUAGUCUUAACUAUAAACUAUACUAACUAGGGAUUA